UAAAGAGGGGGAGUCUCUUCGCCCCCUCACUCUCCCUCUUUGCCUUGUCCCGGCCCUGAGUGGCCGCCCCAGAAGGGGUUGAAAGAAUGUUGUUGGCUGGGACACACCCGGGGAGGGCACACACUGGAGGAAGCGUAGAGACGUCGCCAGGGACCCAGGGUCCUCUCCUCCCACUUGCCCGGGCCGCGUCGGCCCGGCUGGCCGCUCUGUCUUAACAGCGCCCACUUGGCCCAGCGGUCCCAGGACAACCAGCUGGCCCCUUGUCCCGGACACUUGAAUAUCCUCCCUGGAUCACUGCUUCAGCCCAUACUUUGGGGAAGGUGUUUCCCCGGUGUUCGCUCCGGAUCAGGCGUCUGCGCCCUCAGGGACACCCCGACUGCCAAGUUUGCGCCCCUCCUGGGACCGCUUGAGAAAAGGACAAACUUUUGAAUGGAUAAAAAUCAAGAGGAGUCCGUCUGGAGCAGGGUCCUCUUCCCCUUGGAUGCAGAGGCUGCUCGUCUCUUGGCUGUUGGCUCUCUGUCCAAGGAACACCCCUGAUUAGCCAGGCCCACAGCCAUCCACAUCUGCUCAGCAAAGAAGGGAGGCUACUCAUUCCAGGUCUUGGUGGAAGGGAUGCCGACUGUCUGCACAACACAGCUUCCUUGCCUCAACUGGCCCCUCAGGGAAGGUGGAAACCUUCACGUCUCAGGAUCGGAACUCGGCUGGCAGAGCGGACAGCUGCACUCUGGAGCCGGACGCCAGAAGAAGUUUCUGCCGUUGGGCUCUCCUUGCUGCCUCGGCCUCUGCCCAUGUGUGCUGUUGUUUUCUCCUUCACUGGGGAGGGGUGUGGGCAGGGAAGUAAAAUGUUACUCUCCACUCCCCUCCUUUCCCAUACCCUACCCCCACCAAACCUUCUAGCUCCUGAUGGUAAUGAACUUCAGCUUCCAGCCUUACUCAUAAGCUACUCACAGCGAAUUCAAAUCCUCUUCAGGGCAGGAGGGAGGACAGAUGCUCCUUCCUCAGUCCUCCCUUGCUCAUUGAUCCAUUCGAAAGGUCUCAAAGUCGAGACCAGAUUGCUUCAAUUGGUAUAAAAUUAGCCUUUUAAAAAAUCACCCCAAAGGCCCAGGUUUCUAGCAUCCCAGAAUAGAAGGCUUGGAGUUCCUGGCUUGCUCAGUCAGUGGAGCAUGUGAGUCUUGCUCUCAGGGUCAUGAGUUCAAGUCCACAUUGGGCAUAGAAAUUAAAAAAAAGAGAGAGAACAGAAGGUCUUUACCCAGACCCACACCUCUUCUCUGGCCUUUCCAACCAGUUGAUGAUAUAAAGCCUUGUGGAAAAGAAACAGAAGGGAAUCAUGCAGUUUCCUCCAUCUAAAAGUCAGUUGCCUCAGCUGUUCAUUCUACUAAUACUUAUUUAGUACGUAAGUGUGUAAAGCAUCACCCCUACCUCAGUUUGUCAUGACUGUCAAAAGCAGUUCUUGCCCCCUGUGAGGUGUCAGUGUGGUGUGUGUGGGGACAGAUACAAAAAUAAACGAAUCAAUGGGAAAGAAA
This is a long non-coding RNA of Suricata suricatta (meerkat), 1523 nucleotides long. RefSeq lists it as uncharacterized. The transcript has 2 exons. Lineage: Eukaryota; Metazoa; Chordata; Mammalia; Carnivora; Herpestidae. The record is from RefSeq and is a predicted model, not a curated record.